CACACACUAACGCAUGCACACACACACACACACACACACACACACACACACACACACACACACACACACACACACACACACACACACACACACACACAUAUUAACCUCAAACUAACCACACACACAGAACUGCCCAAACUCUCGGUGUGACACACAAUUUCAAAGGGAGCAUGCACACACACCAACACUAGGCCUACUGAUCCUCCUGGCUUCACAUGAAAGGACCUGCUGAGGGUGUGGUGAUGAUGAUAAGAAAACCUGACGGCCUCCUACAGUGCAGCUGAUGUCACUCAGAAAACAACAAAGCAGAUAAACAAGUCCUCAAAACAUUUUGAUUAAAUUGACGAUAAUAGCCACAAAGUAAGACAAAUAGAGCCUCAAGGAAGAAUUCAACGUUUGAAAUGUCUUCUAUCUUCUUUUAUAGAGAGAGGGGGGUUAAGCAAUCCGACGGCUGUUCUGGGAAGGAGGUCUACCGGGGAAAUAGGUCGAUUGUCUCCAUCUGGUGGAGCUAUGGGGGCGGGGUAGGCAGUGCAAGCGAGCCGACCACGGUAACGGUGGUUCGGAUGAACCGACACGGUCACCGCCCUUCACAACCACAGCCGCUAAUGAAAAGAACAGAACUCCAUCGUUUACUCGCGUUUCAACCGGUCUCUCCAUUCAUCCAUGCCUUCCCCCAGACCACAGGGAUCCACUCAUCUGUAUGACUCACGCCCGGUGGCUCGAGGCGGGGCCAGAAGAUCCCCCACAGAGGACAGAGGCAACGCUCACAGGCAAACACACUAACAAGGUAAUCAAUAAGUCAAUGAAUUAACAUUUGCAACCACAACAGGACCCAUGGGACCCAGACAAAGAGAGAGAGUGGUGUGUAAAUAGGCCAAAGGGGAAGAGAGGCAGAAAGAUAAGAGAGUGAGGGAGAGACAGAGAGAGAGAGAGAGAGAGAGAGAGAGAGAGAGAGAGAGAGAGAGAGAGACAGAGAGACAGAGAGACAGAGAGACAGAGAGACAGAGAGACAGAGAGAGAGAGGGAGAGAGAGAGAGAGAGAGAGAGAGAGAGAGAGAGAGAGAGGAGACAGAGAGACAGAGAGAGAGAGAGAGACAGAGAGACAGAGAGACAGAGACAGAGAGAGAGAGAGAGAGAGAGAGAGAGACAGAGAGAGAGAGAGACAGAGAGAGGUAGAGAGAAAGAGAGAGGUAGAGAGAGAGAGAGAGAGAGAGAGAAAGAUACACAAA
Long non-coding RNA from Gadus macrocephalus (Pacific cod), 1229 nucleotides. RefSeq lists it as uncharacterized. The record is from RefSeq and is a predicted model, not a curated record. The transcript is spliced from 2 exons. NCBI's taxonomy places the organism in Eukaryota, Metazoa, Chordata, Actinopteri, Gadiformes, Gadidae.